RNAcentral lists this non-coding RNA (87 nucleotides) under pig gut metagenome. RNAcentral describes it as "THF riboswitch". It matches the Rfam family "THF (Tetrahydrofolate) riboswitch aptamer". From Rfam's summary of the family: THF riboswitch presents a pseudoknot that joins P1-P2 and the loop of P3 and two THF binding. The record is from RNAcentral.
UAGAGUAGAUAUUGUGCGUAAAGUGUCAUGAGAUGGGAUGUUGCUCAUGAACGAAGGUUUAUCCGCGGUACAAUGUCGCGUCCGCUA